Molecule: ribosomal RNA, 429 nt
Filed under: Bacteroidota bacterium
Lineage: Bacteria; Pseudomonadati; Bacteroidota
Description: Bacteroidetes bacterium partial 16S ribosomal RNA
Rfam family: Bacterial small subunit ribosomal RNA
Source: RNAcentral
UAGGGAAUAUUGGGCAAUGGACGCAAGCCUGAUGCAGCCACGCCGCGUGAGUGAAGAAGGAUUUCGGUUUGUAAAGCUCUGUUGGUAGAGAGGAACAGCGCUAAGAUAAACUGUUAGGCGUUUGACGUUAUCUAACGAAAAAGCCACGGCUAACUACGUGCCAGCAGCCGCGGUAAUACGUAGGUGGCAAGCGUUGUCCGGAUUUACUGGGCGUAAAGCGCGCGCAGGCGGUCAAUUAAGUCGGAUGUGAAAGCCCCCGGCUCAACCGGGGAGGUUCAUCCAAAACUGGUUGACUUGAGUGCAGUAGAGGAGAGUGGAAUUCCAUGUGUAGCGGUGAAAUGCGUAGAUAUAUGGAGGAACACCAGUGGCGAAGGCGACCACCUGGUCUGUUACUGACGCUGAGGCUCGAAAGCGUGGGUAGCAAACAGG